This 62-nucleotide transfer RNA is filed under the name Cricetulus griseus (Chinese hamster). It matches the Rfam family "tRNA", at positions 6 to 65 of the family's 71-position model. Rfam says of the family: Transfer RNA (tRNA) molecules are approximately 80 nucleotides in length. Their secondary structure includes four short double-helical elements and three loops (D, anti-codon, and T loops). The record is from Rfam by way of RNAcentral. Lineage: Eukaryota; Metazoa; Chordata; Mammalia; Rodentia; Cricetidae.
UGUGGCUUAGAUGGUAGAGUGCUUGCCUGGCAUGCAUAAGGCCCUGGGUUCUAUUCCCAACA